UAAGCGGAGGAAAAGAAACUAACAAGGAUUCCCCUAGUAACUGCGAGUGAAGCGGGAAAAGCUCAAAUUUAAAAUCUGGCGGCUUUGGUCGUCCGAGUUGUAUUCUAGAGAAGCGUUUUCCGCGCUGGACCGUGUACAAGUCUCUUGGAACAGAGCGUCAUAGAGGGUGAGAAUCCCGUCUUUGACACGGACUACCAGUGCUUUGUGAUGCGCUCUCAAAGAGUCGAGUUGUUUGGGAAUGCAGCUCAAAAUGGGUGGUAAAUUCCAUCUAAAGCUAAAUAUUGGCGAGAGACCGAUAGCGAACAAGUACCGUGAGGGAAAGAUGAAAAGCACUUUGGAAAGAGAGUUAAACAGUACGUGAAAUUGCUGAAAGGGAAACGCUUGAAGUCAGUCGCGUUGGUUAGAACUCAACCAGGCUUGCUUGGUGCAUUUUCUAUUCAACGGGCCAGCAUCAGUUUUGACUGUAGGAAAAAGAUCAGAGAAAUGUGGCACCUUCGGGUGUGUUAUAGUCUUUGGUUGCAUACUAUGGUUGGGACUGAGGAUCUCAGCACGCAUCUGUUGUGCUUAGGAUGCUGGCGUAAUGGCUUUAAACGACCCGUCUUGAAACACGGACCAAGGAGUCUAACAAACCUGCGAGUGUUUGGGUGGUAAACCCGAGCGCGUAAUGAAAGUGAAAGUUGGGAUCUCUGUCGCGGAGAGCACCGACGCCCGGACCAGACCUUCUGUGACGGAUCUGCGGUAGAGCAUGUUUGUUGGGACCCGAAAGAUGGUGAACUAUGCCUGAAUAGGGUGAAGCCAGAGGAAACUCUGGUGGAGGCUCGUAGCGAUUCUGACGUGCAAAUCGAUCGUCAAAUUUGGGUAUAGGGGCGAAAGACUAAUCGAACCAUCUAGUAGCUGGUC
Molecule: ribosomal RNA, 900 nt
Filed under: Phanerochaetella angustocystidiata
Lineage: Eukaryota; Fungi; Basidiomycota; Agaricomycetes; Polyporales; Irpicaceae
Description: Phanerochaete angustocystidiata partial large subunit ribosomal RNA
Rfam family: Eukaryotic large subunit ribosomal RNA
Source: RNAcentral